Molecule: ribosomal RNA, 638 nt
Filed under: uncultured soil bacterium
Lineage: Bacteria
Description: bacterial SSU rRNA
Rfam family: Bacterial small subunit ribosomal RNA
Source: RNAcentral
GAAACGGUGGCUAAUACCGCAUAAUGCAGCGGCACCUAAUGGUGACAGUUGUUAAAGCGGGGGAUCGCAAGACCUCGCGUCUGAAGAGGAGCCUGCGGCAGAUUAGCUAGUUGGUAAGGUAACGGCUUUACCAAGGCGAUGAUCUGUAGCCGGCCUGAGAGGGCGGUCGGCCACACUGACACUGACAUACGGGUCAGACUCCUACGGGAGGCAGCAGUCGGGAAUUUUGGGCAAUGGGCGAAAGCCUGACCCAGCAACGCCGCGUGAAGGAUGAAAUCCUUCGGGAUGUAAACUUCGCAAGAACGGGAAGAAUAAGCCGGUGUUAACAUCACCGGCGAUGACGGUACCGUUUGUAAGCUCCGGCUAACUCCGUGCCAGCAGCCGCGGUAAUACGGGGGGAGCAAGCGUUGUUCGGAUUUACUGGGCGUAAAGGGCGCGUAGGCGGCCACCGCAAGUCGACUGUGAAAUCUCCGGGCUUAACUCGGAAAGGUCAGCCGAUACUGCGGGGCUAGAGUGCAGAAGGGGCAACUGGAAUUCUCGGUGUAGCGGUGAAAUGCGUAGAUAUCGAGAGGAACACCUGCGGCGAAGGCGGGUUGCUGGGCUGACACUGACGCUGAGGCGCGAAAGCUAGGGGACGA